AUUAACCAAUAGGCGAAAAAUGU
RNAcentral lists this small nuclear RNA (23 nucleotides) under Arabidopsis thaliana (thale cress). Its description in RNAcentral is "snRNA_02230". The record is from RNAcentral. Lineage: Eukaryota; Viridiplantae; Streptophyta; Magnoliopsida; Brassicales; Brassicaceae.